AGAGAAAACCUGGCCGUCGCUCCUCGCACUCGCGCCGCCCAGCUCUUCCUCUUUCUCCCGCGUCACCUCCCUCUCUCCCUCCAACCCUAGACCCGCGCCCGUCUCCCUGCCCCGCCGCCGUCCAGAUCCAACCCCACCCUGCCGUCAUUCUCCUUCGCCCAGACCAAUCCCAUCUCAACCUCCCUCGAUCUUUCUCUCUCUAAAAAAAACCUCCCUCGAUCUCCCGUACAUCCCCUGCCAUCGCGUCGCUGCCGUCGCUGCCGCUCGACUCGGCCCCCGUCCCCGACCUCACGCUGCCCGGCGCCUCCUCCCCACACCAAGGACCUCCCCUUGCUCCGCCUCUUCUUCCUAUCCGGCUAGAACUGCGGCGCACGGCCUCUCAUGCUCGCUCGCGACCCUCAGCCGUGUCUAGGGUUUCGGGCUGGGCAGCGCCUUCGCCGCCGGCGCGGCUCCGGUGGGCUCUGACGACUCCUCUCCGUCUCCUCCCUCGCCCCCACGUGCGGUUCCACUUCCCGCUGGCCACGAGGUGCAGCCUUGCAGGGGCGCAUCGGGCUGGGUCGCCUCUGUUUCUGAUUUGGUGCAGCAGACGCUGUGGGGUUGAGGUGUUCUUGGACGAUUUGCUUAAGGUAUGUUUCUAUACAUUGGCAUGAUAUCUAAGACAAGUCUUUGACCAUAGGAUUGUCAUCAAUUUUGUUAUUUAGUUAUACAGAACUGCAUAACAUAGAACAAUACUGCUUCUAAAUGGAUGUUGCCAUUGACAAGGUUACUAAUAUAACUUGGUGUCGUUGCAGGCAGUGUAGUUUACACUCUAUAUUAGUUUAUCUAGCUAUUUACAGCUCACUCUGAUCUAAUUAGAUAAAUGUUGAACAUAGGCCAUCUACUGUUGAUGUCCUGUUGGACAAGGCAUGAUCUAAUCAGAUAAAUCUUGAACAUAAGCCUCCUACUGUUGAUGUCCUGUUGAUUCAAAGUAAAUAGUCCAUAUACUUCUAACAGGUAGUGUAAUUUUUUAGACGAGCAGUCAGCGCCGCAAUGCAAUGCAAAAGUCGGUCUUGAAAUUUCGUUGCAAAAUCAACCAAAAAUAAUCUUUCUCCAUAAAUUAUCUAUCCAGGUUGUCAGUACAUCUUAUAACUAGGUCACUUCCACUGGAUCUUUCUGUUAACAAGCAGCUAGACCCAAGGUACUAAUGUCCAAUCGCUUGAUCAUUUUUAUAUUUAGUCUCUCAAGGUUUUUUUUCAUAGUUUAUCAUUCUUCAAGUUCCACUUUCAUUUUACUGAGUCGUGUCCAAAUGCCUUCUCUAUAAAUCAUUCUAAAACAAGGUGUGUUGCUGCUAUGCUCUGAUGUAUACUUACGUGGUUCUUGCUUCUUAUUUGUCCAGUGUGUGUGUAUGAUGCUGUUGGGUUGUUGACAUGGCGCGUGGUCCGGUUGCGGCUCAUGCUUAAGCCACGGUCGAGCCUCGUGUUGGGUUGGUAGGUGGUCGUGGGCGUGACCGUGGGCGGUCUGCUGGUCGUCGUGGUCGAGCCACUGGCCGUGGAGGUUCUAAUAUAGGGUGUGCCCCUGUUUCUGAUCAUGUCGCUGCUUGCCGGGACAGGCGUAGGGGUAUGAGUCGGUGGAUGCCUGCUACUGGAGCUGAGCCUAUCGCCAGGCGUGAGCGUGGCGCUCGGCAGGUGCCUGCUGCUGGGCGUGGCGCCAUACAUCGGUCAAGUGGUAGGGGUGUUCGUAGUGCUGAUUCUGGGCAUGCAACUGCUGCUAUACAUGUGUCUGUCCCUGGUCGUGCUGCUGAUCCUGGGCACGACGCCGCUUCUGUGCAUGUGUCUAUCCCUGGUUGUGCUGCUGGUCCUGGGUACACCGCUGCUCCUAGGCGUGUGUUGGUCCUUGGGAUUGCUUGAUAAUUUGUGGAUGCUUGAUAAUUUGUCCAGGUAGAGAUCCACCACUGAUGACACAAGUCUGCUACCCUGCUCCUGUGAAGGUCACUGAAGGCCUGCGCCUCCCACCGUGAUUUCUUUUUCUAAAAUUAAAUCAAGUCUCAAUGAAUGAGAUGGAAGCGUUGUUCAGGAUAACAGGAUGGUUUCUGGCAAACAUUUAUCAGGAACUUCAGCUAGGUAUGAAGCACAAUAAAGGUGGCAAUAAGAUGUGCGGGCAAUUAUCAGUGUUUUCGUGACCAUGCUGAUGUGGAGCUGCCAUUGAGGCACAUUUUGCCUCCAAGAUAUCAAACCCUCCAACCUCCACUUUCUUUAGGAUUGUCCCGAGCCCAUCUCACCUCGGUCUUCUCUCCCCCAUGGAUUCGAUUGUGUGCAUGGAUGAGGAAAGAGUCAUUGCAAGAGGUGUUGGUGGAGACGGAGGUUGAGUGGACGACCGACAUACACGGCUUCAUCUAUAACUGCCUCUAUGGCUUCCUCGGCCUCAAUGUUAGCCUCCCUGCUUCACUACUGCAAAAGGGUUUGCAGCUUUGUGUGGUGAUGGCCCUGCCCCUGGCCAAUAUCGAUGCGCAUAUGAGUGAUCUUUGGCUAUGGAGGCGUAUCUUCUGAUGGUCUACAACAGUGUUUUGUUUCUCUGCUGGCUCCGAUUAUGUUAGGUCAUGUUGGUUGGCAUACAUUUAUUUCUGUAUUUGGCACUUCUGGUUGGCUGAUGUUGUUAUGUUGUCCAAGGAAACACAAUACUUACGUUGGUGUCUACGACAGACUUUUGUUGUUCUACUGCCUGUACCCUGUUUGUCUAGAAGAUGAAGGGGAUGGAUGCAAACUUAUGUAUGCAAUGCCAGGAUGAUCAUGGUAGCUUAUGUGAUUGUCGCUGGUCUUCUAUAUCAACGGUUUGCUCGAUGUUUUUUGUGUUA
Long non-coding RNA from Triticum aestivum (bread wheat), 2830 nucleotides. RefSeq lists it as uncharacterized. Lineage: Eukaryota; Viridiplantae; Streptophyta; Magnoliopsida; Poales; Poaceae. The transcript has 5 exons. The record is from RefSeq and is a predicted model, not a curated record.